This 534-nucleotide ribosomal RNA is filed under the name Scedosporium apiospermum. RNAcentral's name for it is "eukaryotic LSU rRNA". The stretch from base 177 to 330 matches the Rfam family "5.8S ribosomal RNA". Lineage: Eukaryota; Fungi; Ascomycota; Sordariomycetes; Microascales; Microascaceae. The record is from RNAcentral.
CAUUACAGAGUUACUACUCCAAACCCAUUGUGAACCUUACCUAUGUUCUGUUGCCUCGGCGGCGUCGGUCAGCGCCCCUCUGAAAAGAGGACGAUGCCCCUCCCGCCGGCAGCACCAAACUCUUGAAUUUUACAGCGGAUUACAGUUCUGAUUUGAAAACAAAAAAAACAAGUUAAAACUUUCAACAACGGAUCUCUUGGUUCUGGCAUCGAUGAAGAACGCAGCGAAAUGCGAUAAGUAAUGUGAAUUGCAGAAUUCAGUGAAUCAUCGAAUCUUUGAACGCACAUUGCGCCCGGCAGUAAUCUGCCGGGCAUGCCUGUCCGAGCGUCAUUUCAACCCUCGAACCUCCGUUUCCUCAGGGAAGCCCAGGGUCGGUGUUGGGGCGCUACGGCGAGUCUUCGCGACCCCCGUAGGCCCUGAAAUACAGUGGCGGUCCCGCCGCGGUUGCCUUCUGCGUAGUAAGUCUCUUUUGCAAGCUCGCAUUGGGUCCCGGCGGAGGCCUGCCGUCAAACCACCUAAUAACUCCAGAUGGUU